GACGAGCCACACGAACGUUAUUCGGAAUUACUGGGCUUAAAGGGUGCGUAGGCUGCGCGGAAAGUUGGGUGUGAAAUCCCUCGGCUCAACCGAGGAACUGCGCCCAAAACUACCGUGCUCGAGGAAGAUAGAGGUAAGCGGAACUUACGGUGGAGCGGUGAAAUGCGUUGAUAUCGUAAGGAACACCUGUGGCGAAAGCGGCUUACUGGGCCUUUUCUGACGCUGAGGAGCGAAAGCCAGGGGAGCAAACGGG
This 253-nucleotide ribosomal RNA is filed under the name uncultured bacterium. RNAcentral's name for it is "partial 16S ribosomal RNA". It matches the Rfam family "Bacterial small subunit ribosomal RNA", at positions 524 to 776 of the family's 1533-position model. The record is from RNAcentral.